This 433-nucleotide ribosomal RNA is filed under the name uncultured bacterium. Its description in RNAcentral is "bacterial SSU rRNA". It matches the Rfam family "Bacterial small subunit ribosomal RNA", at positions 355 to 786 of the family's 1533-position model. The record is from RNAcentral.
UGGGGAAUAUUGGUCAAUGGGCGGGAGCCUGAACCAGCCAAGCCGCGUGAGGGAAGAAGGCCCUAUGGGUCGUAAACCUCUUUUGUCAGGGAACAAAAGCGAGUAUGUAUACUAGUCUGAGUGUACCUGAAGAAAAAGCAUCGGCUAACUCCGUGCCAGCAGCCGCGGUAAUACGGAGGAUGCGAGCGUUAUCCGGAUUUAUUGGGUUUAAAGGGUGCGUAGGCGGCGAUGCAAGUCAGCGGUAAAAGCCCGGGGCUCAACCCCGGCGAGCCGUUGAAACUGCGGUGCUAGAGAAGGCGAGAGGUACGCGGAAUGCGCAGUGUAGCGGUGAAAUGCUUAGAUAUUGCGCAGAACUCCGAUUGCGAAGGCAGCGUACUGGCGCCUGACUGACGCUGAGGCACGAAAGCGUGGGGAUCGAACAGGAUUAGAUACC